CCCGGCGUUUUCCUCUACGAGCUGGGGCUGGCGUGCGGUUCUCCUCGCCGGUCUCACUUCUCCCCUUCCUCCUCUACGGUGCUCGACAGAGGCAGCGCGGCCGCCCCUCUUCUCCCUCGCUGUUGGCUGCCCCUGAGCACCACGCUGCUCACCGGACCGAUUUGUGACACCCCCACCGACCUGAGAUCCGCCUCUGCAGGCGCACACAAGGAGCUCUUCUCCACGAUGCCAGUGGCCAGCGCACAGGGUCUCUGCUCGACCGUAUCCCGGCAAGCAAGCAGGACCUCCAUGGAUGAGGACGACCACCGGUACCUACACAAUGAUGUCGACGCCCCGCACAUGGCCGAGCUGGACGGAACAACGAUGCCUUGGUCGCUCGCCGUGGUCACGGGUGGCCUCCUCCGUUGCUCCCCAUUCGAUCUGGCGCUUGCAUGGGCAGCUAUACCAUUUAUAUAUUCUAAGAGGCUCCAAAAUCUGUGGCUAUACAGGAUCCAAGCAUCGCAAGAUUGAGGUGGCUAACACAAUGGAGCUCCUCCUGAGAGGCUCACACUAAGUGAGGGCUAAAUUGUGAGAUAUCCUUGUUUGGUCCUUUCCAUAUACCUACAAGGCAUGAAUGAAGAUGGCAUGGUUUAUCAUUGAACUGAAUGCUUCCAUGGAACUUUGGUUUCAGUAACAACACACGUUGGUGUCAAGACGAGCGACAUGGCCUGUUAUGAUCAACAACUUCUGAGUCAUAGGAUUUGAUGCAUUAUUCUGUGUGAAAAGGGGCAAUGAAUGCGUGAAUUAAGUUUUUUUGGUUUGAAGCAACUAGCAAUUUCUAUGUAUAACUAUACUAACAGAUGAGAGCAUGUGUGCAUAUGUGGUUUUCAAGGAGAAUUAUGUGACCAUGGCGUUCGUGCUCGUCUGCGGGACGGUGCAAGGCGCAACUCUGACGCGGUCGCGUGGUGGAUGUGCGGUGUAGGAAGCGGUUCCUUGCCGGUUGGACGGCGUGCACUGAGUACUGCCUCGGCUACAACCUCCCUCGGUGAGCUCCAUCUUCCUCCUGCUCCUCUGCUUUGGCUACUGUAUGGGACAUGGCCAUCGAGAAUCGAGAAAUAAGGAUGCCAGUGAGCCUCUAGCCUCCUCAGCGAUUUGGGCUUCCUGGCCGUUGGAUCGAAGCGCUUGAUGCAAUCUGAGCCGUCGGAUCAAGCCCUGGAACGACCUCAUCCGUCGGAUAAAAAAUAGUUACUACUGGAAUGAACAGUUUCACCUCGACCGUGCCACCGCGCGUAAAUAGCCUGCCCCGCCGGGGGCAUUCUCGCCAUUUCGCUUUAUCUGUGGCUGGCGUUCGUGCUAGGGCGAUGAUGAUUAACUGUGGCUGGAAUAAGUGUGCCUUUGAGCAAUCAAGGCACCUGUGGGUAUCAAGUUGGAUCCUCCCUGUUGUCUCUAGAAUCCUUUUUGAUCCUGUGAUACCUAUUGAUCUGUCCUUGGAUGGUCAUUCUUGUUGAGUGAUAAUCAGGGCAGCUCCAUUGUGUAAACAGAUUGAUCUGGUGAUAAGAGAUGAUGGGGGUAGGUUAUAUGAUCGAGAAAAGGCGAAUCUGAGCCCACUAUGCAAUAAAACUGCAGCUACCUCCCCUAAUGUGUGUAGUAUUGAAGGCAAAAGAGAACUUUUAAUGUCUUGCUACUUUAAAAUUCCGAAAAGGUGCAUUCUUCCUUUGUUGGUUACUUAACCAUGCUUUUUGUUUUUCUUUGGUUCUGGUUGAGAUACUAAAGGUUGUUUAUUUAUGAAAAGAACAAACACUUGUAGUUUUGUAUGCCUCAGCUGUUGCUUAGGAUCCAGUGUUGUAGUGCUUUGCCUAAUUAUAAAUAACUCUAAUCAAUAAUAGUGGUAUCAAUAAUAGUGGUUCUUUCCUUCUGAUUUGAACUGAGAGAGAGAGCCAUUGAUUCUUGAUCUUAAGGUGACCCCAUUUUUCUAUGCCUCAUGCUCAUGCUGCUCUAUGUUCCCUUUUAAAAAUUCUUGCUUGCAUUUUGGGUUGGUUUCUGCUCUAUGUUCCCUUUUAGCGUUUCUUUCCGUUGUUGCUGCACUCCCUUUUGGGCGUUCAUUUCAUGCCCAGGAUCUUGCAAAUUGUGCCUGUGUCAAGCUUGCUUUAGAGUAUGGGCUGCGGAGACGUCGAGGACCUCAAGGUCACCGAUGUUGUGGAGCUAGACGAGGUUUCCACGCAGUUCAUCGACCGCCUGUUCUUCCUGGAGAAGGAUCCUGAACCUCAACAACAACCCCUACUGAUUCACAUCGACAUCGUCGUGGUCUGUCUUCAACGACACCCGGGGCGCUGUCAGAUAAUGGCCGUGGACCAGCAACUGCGCCAAUGAUCCUGCCAUGGCGGCGCUAUGGAUGACACGUCACCAUAACCACAUUGAUGGUCCAAGCCCCAGGUGUACACCCUGCUAUUAUGUCAGAGGUUUGGGAGUUCUUACUUGGUCGUUUGAUCUCGAGAACACCUUUGAUGAGCACGAGCAAAUUGGGCAGACCAUAAGGCGAAUAUGACAUUUCCCGUGCGAGAUCAAAUGACUUGAGCAUUACUUUGGUUCAACUGUCCCUCUCAUCAAGUAUUAUGUUUGCGAGAUGAACAAGACUUUCAUGACUCCUGGACAGAGGAUGUGCUUCUCCUGUCGCUUCACGAAGCUAUAUCUAAAGGACCAUCUCAAUGAACCGGUCGAGGACAUGAUGGUGAAACUCAACACUUGAGGUGUCACAAGACAGGUCCGUAUAAUAAUGGACACGAACAAGAGGGCCAUGAUAACAAACAAUUUGUAACUUUGUCAAAGCAGCAGGGGUCAUAGAGUUUCAGAGAUGAGUCUUUGCCUUUGAGAUUGAAAGGGGGGAACUAACGCUUACCGUCCAUAAGCUUUAAAAUGCUAAGAUACAAAAUCGCAUGUGCACUGUCUGUACAGAAAUCAUUAUAUACAGUUUAUCUCACAAGUUGUUUGCAUCAGGUUCAUGUGAAGUGCCACCUAUGAGGUUGAUCGAUAAGGCAGUUGAAUGAAGCCACUUAUUAGUAUGCUUAAUAGCUAUGGUUUCGUAGUCGUUUCUCCUUUAUUAUGUUCUCCUUUUAUUAUUUUCCCUCCUAUAUUUACGCUUUUGGUUUCGAACAUAAUGCCGGGU
Molecule: long non-coding RNA, 3142 nt
Organism: Triticum dicoccoides
Lineage: Eukaryota; Viridiplantae; Streptophyta; Magnoliopsida; Poales; Poaceae
Exons: 11
Source: RefSeq, a predicted model, not a curated record